This 435-nucleotide ribosomal RNA is filed under the name uncultured bacterium. RNAcentral's name for it is "bacterial SSU rRNA". It matches the Rfam family "Bacterial small subunit ribosomal RNA", at positions 958 to 1392 of the family's 1533-position model. The record is from RNAcentral.
AACGCGAAGAACCUUACCUGGCCUUGACAUGCUGAGAACUUUCUAGAGAUAGAUUGGUGCCUUCGGGAACUCAGACACAGGUGCUGCAUGGCUGUCGUCAGCUCGUGUCGUGAGAUGUUGGGUUAAGUCCCGUAACGAGCGCAACCCUUGUCCUUAUUUACCAGCACGUAAUGGUGGGCACUCUAAGGAGACUGCCGGUGACAAACCGGAGGAAGGUGGGGAUGGCGUCAAGUCAUCAUGGCCCUUACGGCCAGGGCUACACACGUGCUACAAUGGUUGGUACAACGGGCUGCCAAGUCGCGAGACGGAGCUAAUCCCAUAAAACCAAUCGUAGUCCGGAUCGCAGUCUGCAACUCGACUGCGUGAAGUCGGAAUCGCUAGUAAUCGUGGAUCAGAAUGCCGCGGUGAAUACGUUCCCGGGUCUUGUACACACCG